UGCAAGUCGAGCGCCCGCAAGGGAGCGGCGAACGGGUUAGUAACACGUGGGAACGUACCCUUUUCUGCGGAAUAGCCUCGGGAAACUGAGAGUAAUACCGCAUACGCCCUUCGGGGGAAAGAUUUAUCGGAGAAGGAUCGGCCCGCGUCUGAUUAGGUAGUUGGUGGGGUAAUGGCCUACCAAGCCUACGAUCAGUAGCUGGUUUUAGAGGAUGAUCAGCAACACUGGGACUGAGACACGGCCCAGACUCCUACGGGAGGCAGCAGUGGGGAAUCUUAGACAAUGGGCGAAAGCCUGAUCUAGCCAUGCCGCGUGAGUGAUGAAGGCCUUAGGGUCGUAAAGCUCUUUCGCUGGGGAAGAUAAUGACUGUACCCAGUAAAGAAACCCCGGCUAACUCCGUGCCAGCAGCUGCGGUAAUACGGAGGGGGUUAGCGUUGUUCGGAAUUACUGGGCGUAAAGCGCGCGUAGGCGGAUAUUUAAGUCGGGGGUGAAAUCCCGGGGCUCAACCCCGGAACUGCCUUCGAUACUGGGUAUCUUGAGGUCGAGAGAGGUGAGUGGAAUUCCGAGUGUAGAGGUGAAAUUCGUAGAUAUUCGGAGGAACACCAGUGGCGAAGGCGGCUCACUGGCUCGAUACUGACGCUGAGGUGCGAAAGUGUGGGGAGCAAACAGGAUUAGAUACCCUGGUAGUCCACACUGUAAACGAUGAAUGCCAGUCGUCGGCAAGCAUGCUUGUCGGUGACACACCUAACGGAUUAAGCAUUCCGCCUGGGGAGUACGGUCGCAAGAUUA
RNAcentral lists this ribosomal RNA (789 nucleotides) under uncultured Alphaproteobacteria bacterium. Its description in RNAcentral is "bacterial SSU rRNA". It matches the Rfam family "Bacterial small subunit ribosomal RNA", at positions 56 to 896 of the family's 1533-position model. The record is from RNAcentral. Lineage: Bacteria; Pseudomonadati; Pseudomonadota; Alphaproteobacteria.